AUCUUAUUAGUAUACAUAAUUAUUUUUAGUUUCCACCUAAAAGAUCUUUCCAAGAUAAGAUA
RNAcentral lists this transfer RNA (62 nucleotides) under Mycopsylla proxima. RNAcentral's name for it is "tRNA-Gly". The record is from RNAcentral. Lineage: Eukaryota; Metazoa; Arthropoda; Insecta; Hemiptera; Carsidaridae.